This 386-nucleotide unclassified non-coding RNA is filed under the name fungal sp. Its description in RNAcentral is "partial internal transcribed spacer region". The stretch from base 1 to 46 matches the Rfam family "Eukaryotic small subunit ribosomal RNA", at positions 1786 to 1831 of the family's 1831-position model. Lineage: Eukaryota; Fungi. The record is from RNAcentral.
AAGUCGUAACAAGGUUUCCGUAGGUGAACCUGCGGAAGGAUCAUUAACGCCUAGCAAUCCCUGGUAAAUCAUUGUCUGAACAGAUUUUGAGUCAGGGACUUCUGACGUGACGCGAAGAAUGGUAUUGAUACUCCAUCUGCGUGGGAUGACAUGCGACGUAGCAAAUCACUUGGCUCCCCAAGCAACCAUGUUUCUAAAAGCGGCUCAUGGAAGCGUAAGGAGACGCUGUAACGUUUUGCUGUAGGCCAACACGGCCGGCAAUCCAAGUGGUUGUACUUCGGUACCCUCACAUCGGCACACCACCGAUGAUAUGUCAAUUUCGCGAAUGGACUAAAAGCCUCGCACCAAAAACCGAACAACUGUUAACAAUGGAUAUCUUGGUUCUC